This 531-nucleotide ribosomal RNA is filed under the name uncultured bacterium. RNAcentral's name for it is "bacterial SSU rRNA". It matches the Rfam family "Bacterial small subunit ribosomal RNA", at positions 778 to 1305 of the family's 1533-position model. The record is from RNAcentral.
AUAGAUACCCCGGUAGUCCACGCCCUAAACGAUGCGAACUGGAUGUUGGGUACAUUACGGUACUCAGUGUCGAAGCUAACGCGUUAAGUUCGCCGCCUGGGGAGUACGGUCGCAAGACUGAAACUCAAAGGAAUUGACGGGGGCCCGCACAAGCGGUGGAGUAUGUGGUUUAAUUCGAUGCAACGCGAAGAACCUUACCUGGCCUUGACAUCUGUCGAAUCCUGCAGAGAUGCGGGAGUGCCGCAAGGAACGACAAGACAGGUGCUGCAUGGCUGUCGUCAGCUCGUGUCGUGAGAUGUUGGGUUAAGUCCCGCAACGAGCGCAACCCUUGUCCCUAGUUGCCAGCACGUAAUGGUGGGAACUCUAGGGAGACUGCCGGUGACAAACCGGAGGAAGGUGGGGAUGACGUCAAGUCCUCAUGGCCCUUACGGCCAGGGCUACACACGUACUACAAUGGUCGGUACAGAGGGUUGCGAAGCCGCGAGGUGGAGCCAAUCCCGAGAAAACCGAUCCCGAGUCCGGAGUCGGAGU